Non-coding RNA from Pseudonaja textilis, 1187 nucleotides. The record is from RefSeq and is a predicted model, not a curated record. NCBI's taxonomy places the organism in Eukaryota, Metazoa, Chordata, Lepidosauria, Squamata, Elapidae.
AAAGAAACACCCUUUAAAAAAAAAAUAGAGAACCCCCCCACCCCCCAGUUUUGAAUUGAGGGUUCCAGGUAAGAUUCCUGGUUAGGCGCAAAGCCGUAUCCAAGGAGGUUGAUGUCAAACCAGAGCCGCCAUUGAACUGCAGUUUUCCUCCUUUCUUCCCUCCUCCCUUACCCAGCAGAAAUCUAGGGUUUAUAUCCCUACCCCACCCCCAAAUAUCAGGGGGGGUCCUUGCAAUUCUUCCCCAUAGAGAUUUGCAAGGUCUGCAUGCUGGAUUUCUGUAAUUUUUUUUUCUUGGAAUAAAUGACUGAAGGGCAGGUAUAUGAAGGGUAAUUUGCUAUGGAGCUACAGGGAGGGGGGGGUCUGCAGCAAAUUGGGACAACACCCUCUUAAAAUAUUUGGAGCAGGGAAAUGAAAGGUAUAUACUGUGAUUCCACGUACAGGAUGUCUACGACAAAAAGUCUCGAGUUCUUAAAGAGUCGUCCUCCAUUAUGAUUGAAAGAGGAAAGGAGCCCUGUUUAAUUUUUUCUUCUUCUUCAUGUAAGAACAAAAGACGCCAUGGCUGCCUCUUUCUCUCCAAACAAAUUUGUUUUUCUGUAUUUGGGUGUUGGCAUUUAACUCUUUCUCAACUAGGUGUUCCAUGAAUAUUUGCCAGCUCAAUAACUGAUGGCUUAUAAGAGUUGCCCAGAAUUUUUUAUAGAUGUCCUUGACGUCUAAUAACUAGGAGGAUCCGGAUAGAGCUAAAGGAGAACAUGUUAGCAGUUUCAGGUACAUUGAACUGAUUCCACAAAAUACCUGAUUCUGUAUGGUGUACUGAGUCCAGAGAAAGGAAGAAACUCAAAAGGGAGACAACGAUUUCCAAAUCAAGAUGGCAGUUCCACUGCUGAGAGGUUCAGAAAGUGAACUCUAGUGCAUGAUUGCUGAGUAUGCCCUUCCAAGAAAGGGAUUCUUUAACAUGGACUACGAUUGUCUAACCUACAGAAGAUUUGAGCUAAUUGUAAUCUUAUAUUCUGUUUUUAAUUUAUUUUUUUAAAUCUGUGUUUCCAGACUCUUGGGAUUAGCAUUCAGUUGGGGAUGAAGGGCUGGAAGGGGCUGAUCAAAUUUUGCAAACAGGAAUGUAUAAAAAUGUCUCUUCCCUAUUUAAUUGGCACAAGUGCAUUGCUAUUUAAAUAAAGUGUUUUUUCCAUAUU